GGAGAGGUACUCCCAAGUGGUCAAAGGGAGGUGCUCUUACUGCGUCUUGAAACAGAGACGGAGGCAUGUGAGGCUCUCUAUGAGAGCGGGGUACUGUCGCUACUAAGACUUCGAGGGUUCGAAUCCCUCCCUCUCCA
This 137-nucleotide transfer RNA is filed under the name marine sediment metagenome. RNAcentral describes it as "tRNA-OTHER". It matches the Rfam family "tRNA". Rfam says of the family: Transfer RNA (tRNA) molecules are approximately 80 nucleotides in length. The record is from RNAcentral.